UAAGAGUUCGUUGUAUCGAAACAAGGAUGUGCGAGAACCCGAUGGUCGGUACGAGUCGAGAAGAAGUCGAGUCGGGUCGGGUUCCCGAAAAUUUCG
Frieseomelitta varia is the source of this 96-nucleotide long non-coding RNA. RefSeq lists it as uncharacterized. NCBI's taxonomy places the organism in Eukaryota, Metazoa, Arthropoda, Insecta, Hymenoptera, Apidae. The record is from RefSeq and is a predicted model, not a curated record. The transcript has 3 exons.